UUGAGGUGCUGUCCGGCUGUUCAGCCAUUUAGGGCUUCAGCAUCGCCUGGUGGCAUCGAUGUGACCAAGCGGAAAAGCGGGAGGAGAGGCGUUGGCCCGUUUCUCAGAGGCGUCUGUGAGGCCCCCUGAGCCCGUCCCGCCCCGCCCGCCGCCUCUCCCGGCUCCGUUCUUCUCACAGCCGGUGACCGAGGCCGCGCGGAUGAGGCCGGCUCAGAGCCUUGUGGUCUUUGAGGAUGUGGCCAUAUAUUUCUCCCAGGAGGAGUGGGGACUCCUUGAUAAGGCUCAGAGACUCCUGUACCGUCAUGUGAUGCUGCAGAACAUUGCACUUUUGUCCUCCUUAGGUUGUCAGCACAGUGCCCAUGAUGAGGAGGCCCUUUCAGAGCAAGAUGAUGCAGUUAGAGAGUCACAGGUCAAGACUCCAAAGCCAGGUCCAUCCAUCCAGAAGUCUCAUUCUUGUGAGAUGUGUGGCCCACUCUUGAAAGACAUUUUGCACCUGGCUGAGCACAAUGGGACACACCCUGAGCCAGAAGUGUCUGUGUGUGUGGUGAGGCUUUCCCAGCACCAAAAGGAGCUGAGUCGAAAGAAACUCCCCGGAUGGAAUGAAGGGAGGACUUCAUUUGUGAAGAACUACAGCAUUCAUGUGACAGAGAAGACCUUGACAUGCAGGGAGGGAGGGAAGGACUUUCUGGCCAGUUCAGGCCUUCUCCAGCACAAGGCCCCUCAUGUAGGAGGGAAGCCACACAGUGACACAGAGGGCAGGGCAACCUUUGUAAGUGGACAGAGUGAUUACAAGUGCAGUGAAAAUGGGAAAACCUUUAGCCACGAACGCAUACUUGUUGAACAGCAGAAAAACCAUUGCACUGAAAGCGGGAAGACCUUCAGAAGGUUCCACCUGGUUCAACACCAACCAAUACAUACUGAAACUAGGCUAUAUGGGCACCUUAGAUGUGGAAGAUUCUUUACACAAAGGUCUGGCUACAUUGAACAGCAGAGAGUUCACACUAAGCCAACGCCUUAUGAGUGUAGCCAUUGUGGGAAGUGCGUUAAAGACAGCUCCAGACUCACUAUUCAUCAGAGAGUUCACACUGGAGAAAAGCCUUAUAAAUGCAGUGAAUGUGGGAAAUUCUUCAGGUACAGCUUCACAUUCAAAAGACAUCAGAGAGUUCACAUUGGAGAAAGGCCAUAUGAGUGCAGCGUGUGCGGGAAAUUUUUUGUAGACAGCGCCACGCUCAUUAUUCAUCAGAGAGUUCACACUAGGGGAAGGCGUUUUGAAUGCAGCAAAUGUGGAAAAUUCUUUAGGUACCACUUCACACUUGAGAGGCAUCAGAAAGCUCACACUGGAGAAAGGCCUUAUGAGUGCAGUGUAUGUGGGAAACUCUUUAGGCACAACUCAAAUCACAUUAGGCAUCGGAGAAAUCACACAGGUGAAAGGCCUUAUGAGUGCAAUGUAUGUGGUAGACUCUUCAGCCAAAAUUCUCACCUCAUUCGGCACCAAAAUGUUCACACCAGAGAAAAAACUUAUGAAUGUAGCAAAUGUGGGAAAUUCUUUAUGGACAGCUCCACCCUCAUUAUUCAUCAGAGAGUCCACACUGGGGAAAAACCUUAUGAGUGCAGUAAAUGUGGGAAGGUCUUCAGAUAUAACUCCAGCCUCAUUAAACAUCGCAGAGUUCACACUGGGGAAAGGCCUUAUGAAUGCAUCAACUGUGGGAGAGGCUUUAGCCAAAACUCCCACCUCAUUAGGCACCAAGAAGUACACACUAAAGAGUAUUGCAAACAGGGAAAGACUUCAGAGAAGAGUGUGGUCUGAUUUAGUACUGGAAAGCACUGCUAUGGAAGUGUUUAAAAGUUUUUUAAUUGUGGUUAAAUACACAUAACAUAGAAUUUACUAUCUUAGCCAUAUUUAAAUGUAAGUUCAUCAGUAAUAAUACAUUCACAUUUUGUGCAAACAAACAUUCAGAAGUCUUUUUAUCACAUAAAACUGAAACUAAACCCAUUAGACUCCUUAUCCCCCCUCUCUUAUCGCCUAACAACAACUAUUCUAAUUUCUGUCUAUGAAUUUGUCCGCUCUGGGUACCUUAUGUAAGAGCCAUAAAGUUUUUCUCCUUUUGUGUCUGGCUUAUUUCACUGAAGAUAAUGUCCUCAGGGUUCAUCUACAUCCUAGCAUGUGUCAGAAUUUCCUUCCUUUUUGAGUAAUACUCCAACUUAUGUAUAAUACUGAUGAUGUAUCCCAUCAUCAGUGGGCUCUUGGGUUACUUUCAUUGUUUGGCUACUGCACAUAAUGCUGUCAUAAGCAUGAUUGCACAAAUAUUUAUUUGAGGCCCUACUUUUAGUACUUAUUAGGUAUAUUCCCAGACGAGAAUUGUUGGAUAAUGUGGUAAUUCAAUAUUUAAAUUUUUUGAGGAACUGAGGGGCUGUUUUCCAUAGUAGUUGUACCAUUUUACACCAGUACAGCUUAAAGUUUCCAAUUUCUCUGUGCUUUCAGCAACACUUUUUAUUUUUUCUUGUUUUCUUUUUUCAGAAUACUAUCCUAAGGGAUAUAAGGUGAUUAUUUCAUUGUGGUUUUGAUUUGCAUUUAAUGUUGUUGAACAUUUUUUCAUCUGCUUGUUGGCUGUUUAUAUUUGUCCUUUGGGAAAAUGUCUCUUCCAAUCCUUAACCCAUUUUUUAAUGGGGUUAUUAUUGUUGUUAUUUAGAUGUUGAAGUUCUUUAUAUGUUCUGUGUAGUGACUCCUUAUCUGAUAAAUAAUUUGCAAAUAUUUUCUUCCAUUUUAAGGAUUGUCGUUUCACUCUCCAUUUAGUUCUUUUUUGCACAGAAAUUUUAAAUUUCAGUAUAGUCCAAUUUAUUUCUGUUAUUAUUGCUUAUCUUUGGUAUCAUGUCCAAGAAAUUAUUGCCAGUGUCAUGAAGCAUUUUUCCUGUUUUCUUCUAAGAGUAUUACACUUUUAAGUCUUAAUAUUUGGGUCUUUCAUUCGAGUUCAUUUAUAUAUAUCAUGUUAGGUAAAGGUUCAACUUCAUUCUUUUGCAUGUGGUUGUCUAGUUUUUCGACGCUAUCUGCUGAAAAAACUCAUUUCUCUUUGAAUGGUCUCUGCACCCUUUUAAAACUUCUGAGCAUGUGUUUGAGGGUUUGUUUCUGUGCUCUUUAUUCCAUUAUCCUCUAUGUAUGUCUGUGUCAAUACCACAGCAUUUUGAUAUAUACAUUUAAAUUUUUGAAAUAGUGGUUUGACUCAGUUUUGAAGCCCUGGCAAGAGGACUGUCGGUUCCCCUUCUAGAACAGCUGAUGAAGCCCACACCCCCAAUCACUUCCCUUAUUAGUCUCCCAUACCCUGGACUACCAUAAACCAAGGUGUCAGACAUUUAGUGAUAGCUCCUAUGUUCCAGAACCCAUACAGUUAUUCAGAAUAGCCAGUCAACAGAGAGCUCAUGAAACCUAGCUAAUCCCAUUACUCUUGCCACACAUAAGCUGCCCAUCACAGCUCCAGCUUGCUGUUAUCGUGGCCCUGGGCUCUGUGUUACCCUGUCUAACAUCUUUAUCUCAUUCUGAGCUGUAAGUAACAAGCAGUCUUUCAUGUAUCCCAGUAUCAUCGUGUGGUAGGUUCCACCAUCAAGAACCUUUCAGUCUUACAGAGCAGCUCCACACGCAGAAGGGUAUUAUGAGCACAGCAAAUGUUGGAAAGUCUUCAGCGAUUAGUCUGUCUCCACUCAGCACUAAGAAGUUCACACUAGAGAAAGACAUUACAUGCGCAGCCACUGAGCUCUUUCCUUUUUAAUAUAAUAACAGAUCAAAGCUCUGGACAUUAACACCUGUGAGAAAGAUAUCCCCCGGAAACUGCAUCUCAUACAUCCAGGCAUCCUUACUAGGGAGAUUUGUAGUUAGGGCCAGGUACAUGGGAAGUUUUGGUGAACUCUCACACUUUCAGACCUACCUGGGGCUGUAACUAGAGUUCUCUCACAACACAAAAAACGUUUGUAACUAUGAGGGCAACGUGAAGUAGACUUACUGUGAUCAUUUUGCAAUAUAUACAAAUUCUGAACCAUUAUGUUGUGCAUGUGAAACUAAUACAUACUAUCUGUUAAUUAUAUCUCAAUUUUAGGAACUCCCUGGCUGUCCAAUAGAUAGGGCUCCACGCUUCCACUGCAGGGGGCACGGGUUCCAUGCAGCCAAAAGGAAAAAAGAAUUAUAUCUCAAUUUUGUUAAAAAGCAGGGAGAACAGAUUGCUGUGCUCUCUUGCUUUAUCUAGAGUAUUCGCCAGCUACUUGUGCCCUUUGGUGAGACCUCAUACCCCACCCCCUUGAUUUGUUUGGGUGUGAACAUCACCCAGCUUGGACAGAGGACUGGAUCUGGCUUUAGCUGGCAGUUUUCAGAGGUUUCCCUUGUUCAGGGUUGUUAUUGUCUCCUGAUAUUCUUGGCAGAUUUUUCCAGCCUGCAUUUUACCCAGCCUAGGAACUCUUGGCUCACCUUGCUGGUUUUUGCAGUAAUGGUCUUACUGGUUUUUUGUUUUAUUUUGUUUUUUGAGUAUAGUUGAUUUACAAAGUUGUGUUAAUUACUGCUGUAGAGCAAAGUGAUUCACAUAUAUAUAUAUUUAAACACUCUUUUCCAUUAUGGUUUAUCAUAAGAUAUUGAAUAUAGUUCUCUGUGCUAUGCAGUAGGAUGUUUUUCCAUUCUGUAUAUAAAAGAUUACAUCUGCUAACCCCAACCUCCCAUUCCAUCUUAUUGUUUAAGCUACAUUUACUCUUGGGAUUCCGUUUACUGUAUGCUGUGGGAGAGAAUAGAAUUGGGCUUUGCCAGAAUGAAAUAUACAGAGUUCUGGGGCUCUCAAGUCUGUGUACUCCAAAGGAAAUAGCAGGAGGACAAACAAUUCUCAGUGUAGAUUUGGCCUAAUUGUAUUAUUGCCUGAGGCCUCCUAGGAAAGUCUGAAAGACCCCUGCACCUUGAUCUCAUGCCCUGGAUCUGAAGAUUAUUUGUGGAUCCACAGUCACAUGGGGCAGGUGGUUUGCAAACAACAGUAUUUGGUAGUACCACGAAUUUGGGCCCUUGAAUUUAGUUGCUCUCCCAUGUCUUCUGAUAUUUUUGACAGGUUGCAAUAUAUACUGACAGCUGUCUCCUGAGACCCACCUAGGAGUUGUGUGUCCUGAGGGAAAAAAUCAUGUAGGUAUAUGUGCAUGGACCUAAGGCUUAACAAGGCCCAGGGCUGGGAACAUAUUCUGUACAGAAACAGUGAUUGGAUUAAUUGCAGCUGAGGGAGACUGCAGCAAAGUAGAGUGUAUAAGCCCCUUUUAAAGGGGUAGCUGUACAUGUUCCAGUAACUGGCCAAGUGAGAAGAGAAUGUACAGAUCUCCGACCUACAGUCCAGUCCACAGUAAUCUGGGUGCAUCCCCUUUAAGAAGCCUGAAACCCCACCCCCGCCUCAGAGCCUUAGGAUACUCCAACUCUCACUUUGGGGCGGGGCCUUUGCUGGAGGUUGGGGCACCGCCCCCUGCCUGGGGCUCUAUGAACUGUAUUUCCAGGAAGGCACAGCGCCGCGCCACGGGGCACUGGACCAAUGAAGGCUCAGUGGGGAGGCACUUCCGUUCUAGAGGGACAGCGUCUGGGCGGGCUUUGCGCUGUGGACCGAGGGCGACAUUUUGUAAACUCGAAUGUGUUAACUUCUGGGGAGCUUCAGAAUACUGGGCCUUUUGGAAGGAAAGGAGCCGGAAAGCUGCUGUGCCCGCUGCUCUGAGGAGGGUCUGAGGCUUGGCGUGGGCGCCAUCCGGCCUGACGCUUCCUCGGGCCGGGACAGGGGCAGCCGUGCCCGGGUCCCUGUUCGCCCACAGACGCCUUUGGCAGCGGCGGAACUGAAGCGUCCAGUUCGGGUUCCACAUUCAGCAGAACCACUUAUGGACCCUGCACUGGCUAUCCCUGGCUGCAGUGUGCAGAACAGACUGGGGAAGAGGAAGACAAGGAGCACAUCAAAGAGGCUAUUAUAGUCAUCCUGAUGACUAUUAGUUGUGGCUGGACCAGAGCAGUGGAUGUGAAGGUAGGAGAAAUACUUGUGGAUUCUGGGUUUGUUUUUAAAGUAGGGGCUGACCAGAUUUUCUAAUGUGGAGGGGAUCACAGAUGCCUGCAAAGUUUUUUCCCUUUGCAUCUGGAAGGGUGGAAGUGCCAUCAACUGAGAUGGGGAGGUCAGUGGUAGGAGUCCUUUUCACUGAGACUAUUAGGAGUUGGGUUUUGGCCAUUUUGAUUCUCAGAUGUUCCAGUGACUCCCAAGUAUAGGAGGGAAGUGGGGCUUCCCUGGUGGUGCAGUGGUUAAGAAUCUGCCUGCCAAUGCAGGGGACAUGGGUUCGAGCCCUGAUGCAGGAAGAUCCCACAUGCUGUGAAGCAAUUAAGCCCGUGUGCCACAACUACUGAGCCUGCACUCUAGAGCCCUUGAGCCACAACUACUGAAGCCCACGCCCAUAGAGCCUGUGCUCUGAAACAAGAGAAGCCACCUCAAUAAGAAGCCCAUGCACUGCAAUGAAGAGUGGCCCCCGCUCUCCACAACUACAGAAAGCCUGUGCACAGCAACGAAGACCCAAUGCAGCCAAUAAAUUAAAAAUCUUAAAAAAAAAAAGAGAGAAGUGGAUGGCUGAACAUGCAGAUCUAGAGUGCUUGGGAGGCUUCAGGAUGCCAUCAGGGGACAAAGGAGGGGAGACGGGGCUGUCACAAAGACAGACAAGAGGAAUGGUCAUCAGCAGGCAGGUGGGGGAAGGGAAAGUUCAUCAGGUGGCCCAGGUUUUCAUGGGGGAGUGGCCAUGAAAUUGAUGCAGAGUGAAGGCAGAAAUGGAGGUGACAUGACAGCAAAGUCAGGCUGGUGCUUAUUUCUCCUCCUGUGCACUCACCAGGCUUUUGUGGUGGAACUUGGGGAGUUUCUGACAGAAUGUCAGAUGAGUUUGCCAAAGGCGUGUCAGUAGGGGUGGAUUUUGAAUGGGUGUUAUAUAAACAAAGAUUGUAACUGUUGAAGAGACAUAGUGUGGAAUACAGAAGAGGAACCUGACAAGGGGUAUUUAGAUCUGCAUGUUGUGACUGAAGUUAAAGGAAGGAACAAGGCCUGGUGGGGAAGCCUUUAGAACAGCUGCCAGUGGAGAGCUGGGGUACAGUGGCAUCGUGUUGCAUUGGGAAGCACUUUCUGAUGCCAUGUGCAGAGGGUAUGUGAGUAGACAGGAGACAUGCCAAAUUUGUGGGCCUAGUGGUGGCGGUGGGAAUCAGAUGUAUGAGGAGUUAACCAGUGAGUUAUAUGCAUGUGGGGAAGGUGUGUGAAGUAACUCCCGAGGCCCUGGUACUAAGAGCGUAAGAGAGGAGGAUGGGACUAAGUUUGUGUCUGGGAAACGAGAUCCUGGAGACGCUCAGGCUGCUGUCUUGCAGGAGAGGGAGGGGGCCCUGCAUAUCAGGCCCACAGCUUAAAUGGCAUCUGUCCACCUGCCUGUUGUUGAUGAGAGUGGACCUAGUGAUCAAUGAAGCAUGAAGAGUUCUUGGGUAUCAUCCCCCUCUGAGUUAGGGCACUGUGGAGGAUGAUGAACCCACAGUGAGUAUGGGCUGGGGUUAGGGGUACUUAUGGGAUCCUGGGGAGAGAGGCUGCUUAUGGACACAUCUGUCCCCAUCAUCACAGGGCUCUGUGACCUUUGAGGAUCUGGCUGUGUAUUUUUCCCAGGAGGAAUAGAGGCUUCUUGAUGAGGCCCAGAGACUCUUAUACCGUGAUGUCAUGCUGGAGAUGUUUGCACUUGUUGCCUCAUUGGGUAAGGCCCUCACACCUUUCCCAGCAUCCUGGGUAGGUGUCUGCCUUUCCCUUUUUUCCAAGGGCAGCUCUGUUCUUUUCACAGCUAGACAGUGGGCACGUCUCUUACUGCUUCCCUGUCAUCUGUGCUAUUGGUAUCAAGGCUGAGUGUGUAGCCCCAAUACCAGCUGCACUAAAGUUUUUCCAGUGAAGGUUUUCUGGGUCAUAAGACUUGGAAUUGGUUCAGUGGGUUCCAUUAGUCUCAGAGACUCCCUGCGAAGUUGACUCUGUGGACCCCUGCACCUCUGUGCUGCAGGUUCUUCCCCCUUCCAGCUGACAUUUCCUGGGCUCUUGACUAUACCAGGAAUUGUGGGAUCUAACAUGAAUGCUAUUUGUGGGGUCCACCUGGCUAUUUCUGGGAGACCCGCCUCAAAUUUGGGAUUGAUUGUCCGCCUGGGCUAGUACAGACCACUCACCUAUCCUGUCUUUCCCUUAGGACUUGCAUUUUCUAGGUCCCAUGUUGUUGUCCAGCUGGAGCUGGGAGGAGAACCCUGGGUACAUGGUAGAGUGACCAUGACUCCGGGCACAGCAUGAGGGGCUCAAAGUGGGCCUGGCUCUGGUGACUGGCGUCAGGAGGAGCACGUGAUAUCAUGAAUGGAUUCAGAUUAUAACAGGAACAUGUCCUGUGCCCAACAAUACUGUUUUGGGGCCAAGGGCGUUGACUGUGUAUCUCAUUUCUGUCUUUUCUGCACAUUCUUGACACUGUGCUCCUUCUGUCAUAUCUAUUCUAACUUCAAACCCAGGAUCAUCCCUCACCUCUUUCUUCUACUCCUCAUUGGUCCUCCCCAUCCUCACUCUGAUGUGCUUUCCAAUACUGGCAUACACUUAACAUGUCAUGAGGUCUGCACCUAUCCUUAAGAUAGGUUUGAACACCUGCUACUCAGUGACAGUCGGCCUGGGCCUCGACACACCUUUCCACACAGCGCCGAGACCAGCUCGGCGACUCGAGCACACACGUGUCACCAGCAGCCUGGGCCCUGGUGAAAACUGCUCCUGGAGGAGUGAGUUGUGGACCACAGCUCCUCCGUGUGCUCCACCCCAUCCUUGUGUCUUGUCUGGUUGUUGGUGUGAAGCAGAGGACAAGGAAACACCUUCUGAGCAGAAUGUUUCUGUAGAAGUGCCACAAAUAAAUACUUCAAAGGCAGAAUACAGAAGAGAGGGAGGCAGCAUCUUCCUUGAGGUUUUCUUUCCAAAGAGUUUGCGCAAACAUCUUAAAAAAACAAAAACAAAAAACACUCCUUGGUUCUGAUGGAAGAAAGAGUUCGCCUAUUGAGGAGCGGAGAAGCCCUAGUGGGCUAGAGGCCGAGGCCGAGGCCGAACCCAUCAUCGCCGGGGCAAAAUUAACGUCGCCUGUGUCGGAGCCCACCCGCAGCCCCCGGCCCUCCUCCCCGACCCUGGGGCCGCAGGGGCAGAGGCGGUGAGGCUCACCCUCCUGGUUCUCCCGCGGGCGGCGCCUGGCCAUCCGGCCUCAGGCUCGGAACCCGGGAAAAUCCCACAUAGGUGCUUCCGCAGACCGGGCCCCACGCGAGCCCUCGGCCGAACCCCUCACGCCCUCCUCAGGCCUCUCCACCCAGCCUGGUUCCCACCUCCGGACCCGGGAGACCCCCUCCCGCUCCCCGCGGCAGCCGGAGGGGCCCCGGCGGAGGCUGGUCGCUCCCUCCGCCCCACACCCGGGCCGGGAGCGCGGCUCCGGCCUCCGCCCCUUGAGUCUGCAGGUACAACCUCCAAAGAGAGCACGAGGUGCACCCUCCCGGCAGGACCCACGACCCGGACGAUCCUGCCAGCCCUGCCGACCUCCCGGAACUCGGCCUCCUGCACUGCUGCUGAAGCCCUUCAUCUGCAGACGUUCCCCGAGCUCCGUAGGGAAGAAGAGAUACAAGAGGGCCGUCAUCUGCAAACCAAGCAGGCCCAGGGGAACCCGGCCUGACAGCAUCUUGAUCUUGGACUUCCGGCCUCCAGAACUAUGAGAAUAUGUAUCUGUUGUUUAGGCCACCCCAUCUGUGGUAUUUUAUGAUGACAGCCCUAGCAAACUAAUACAAUUACCAAUUCACUUAUGCAUGAGUAUUUGCAUAUUUUUGCCUAGUUAUUGACUUGCAUCAAUAAAGCUGGUGUUGCUGUGAAGAUUAGAGUACAAGCAUUUCUGUGGACACAUUUUUAUUCCUCUUGGAGGUAUACCUACACAUUAGAUGGCUGUGUUACAUAAGUGCAUCUGUAAUUUUACAGAAAUUACCAGUUUUCUAAAGUGGGUUUUAUCAUUUUGCAUUCCAACAGUAAUGUAUGGGAGUUCUGUUUCACAACUUCACCGACUUGGCAUUGCUGUGUCUUACUGUGGUCUUCAUUUGUAUUUCCCUAGUGAUUAAUGUUGAACAUAGUUUCCUAUACUUAUUAUUCAUAUAUCUUCUUUGGUGAAAUAUGUAUUCAAAAUUUUUAAUUAAAAAUUGUUUUUUCUUGUUGUAAAUGUUAUGUUAAAAUUCUGGACAUCAGUUAUUAAUCAGAUGUACUUUCCAAAUCAGAUGUACUUUGGCUUGUACUUUAAACUUUUUUUUUUUUUGGCUGUGCCCUGUGGCUUGCGGGCUCUUAAUUCCCCAACUAGACCAGGGAUUGAACCCAGGCCACCACAGUGAAAACACCAAGUCUUUACCACUGGACCACCAGGGCAUUCCCUAAACUUUCUUAAAUGUCUUUUAAGUAGCAAAGAUUUUUAAUUUUGAGUAAGUCUCAAUUUAUCAUUUUAUUCAGGUUUUGAUUUUUAUGUCUGGUAAAAAAAAAAAAUCUUUGUCUAACCCAUAUUCAAAGAGUGCUCAUCGGACUUCCUAGGUGGCACAGUGGUAAAGAAUCUGCCUGCCAAUGCAGGGACAUGGGUUCGAGCCCUGCUCUGGAAAGAUUCCACAUGCCACAGAGCAACUAAGCCUGUGCGCCACAACUAUUGAGCCUGUGCUCUAGAGCCCAUGAGCCACAACUAUUGAAACCCAUGCACCUAGGGCCCAUGCUGCACAACAAGAGAAGCCACUACAAUGAGGAGCCUGCGCACACAAUGAAGAAUAGCUCCCACUUGCAGCAACUAGAGAACGCCUGUGUGCAGCAACAAAGACCCAAUGCAGCCAAUAAAUAAAACAAAAAACAAAAAAACCCAGUGUUCAUCAUUCAUAUCUUCUAUGAUAUGUCUGUUUUAUAUUUCAGUCAUUCAAGGUUAUGAUCCAUUUCAAAUCAAUUAGUAAAUGACUUGAGGUAUUUCGAGGGUUUUUGCUACUUUAUUUUUCAUAUGGAUGUCAUCAUCUUAGAUCAUUUUGUUGGAAAACAUUAUCCUUUCAGUCUUGAAAUAUGUUGGUAAUUUUAUUGAAAAUAAAUUGACAGUACUGGUGUGGGUCUAUUUCUGAACUCUAUCUUCUGUGUCUAUCCAUUCAACAAUAUUGUGCUUUUGUUAGUAAAGCUCUAUAGUAAUUCUUAAAAUCAGAUUAAAAUCUUUCAAAUUUGUGGUUCUUUCCAAAGUUUGUUUUGGCUAUUUUAGGUAUUUUGAAUUUUCAUAUGAUUUUAGAAUCAUUUUGUCAGUUUCUACCAAAAUCACUGGGAAUUUGAUAGUUGUGUCAACCUACAGAAUUA
Hippopotamus amphibius kiboko is the source of this 11381-nucleotide RNA transcript. It is a transcript of the gene named zinc finger protein 547-like, with no coding region annotated. The transcript is spliced from 8 exons. Lineage: Eukaryota; Metazoa; Chordata; Mammalia; Artiodactyla; Hippopotamidae. The record is from RefSeq and is a predicted model, not a curated record.